Molecule: ribosomal RNA, 1459 nt
Filed under: uncultured Bordetella sp.
Lineage: Bacteria; Pseudomonadati; Pseudomonadota; Betaproteobacteria; Burkholderiales; Alcaligenaceae
Description: partial 16S-23S ribosomal RNA intergenic spacer
Rfam family: Bacterial small subunit ribosomal RNA
Source: RNAcentral
AGUUCGAUCCUGGCUCAGAUUGAACGCUGGCGGGAUGCUUUACAUGCAGUCGAACGGCAGCACGGACUUCGGUCUGGUGGCAGUGGCGAGCGGGUGAGUAAUGUAUCGGAACGUGCCUAGUAGCGGGGGAUAACUACGCGAAAGCGUAGCUAAUACCGCAUACGCCCUUCGGGGAAAAGCAGGGGGCCUUCGGGCCUCGCACUAUUAAACGGCCGAUAUCGGAUUAGCUAGUUGGUGGGGUAACGGCUCACCAAGGCGACGAUCGUAGCUGGUUUGAAGGACGACCAGCCACACUGGGACUGAGACACGGCCCAGACUCCUACGGGAGGCAGCAGUGGGAAUUUUGGACAAUGGGGGAAACCUGAUCCAGCCAUCCCGCGUGUGCGAUGAAGGCCGCUGGGUUGUAAAGCACUUUUGGCAGGAAAGAAGCAGCCGCAGGAUAAUACCCCGUGCAACUGACGAAAACACCUGCAGAAUAAGCACCGGCUAACUACGUGCCAGCAGCCGCGGUAAUACGUAGGGUGCAAGCGUUAAUCGGAAUUACUGGGCGUAAAGCGUGCAGGCGGUUCGGAAAGAAGAUGUGAAAUCCCAGAGCUUAACUUUGAACUGUUUUAACUACCGAGCUAAGUGUGUCAGGAGGUGAAUUCCGCGUGUAGCAGUGAAAUGCGUGAUCUGGAAGGAACACCGAUGGCGGGCAGCCUCCUGGGAUAACACUGGCCUCCAUGCACGGCUAUUCAGGAGCAAGCAGUUGACCCGUUCGCCUAAACAGUGUCAACUAGCUGUUGGGGCCUUCCGGGCCUUGGUAGCUGUAUAACGCGUGAAGUUGACCGCCUGGGGAAAUACGGUCGCAAGAUUAAAACUCCGAGAGGAAUUGGCUGCGGACCCGCACAAGCGGUGGAUGAUGUGGAUUAAUUCCGAUGCAACGCGAAAACCUUACCUACCCGCCGACAUGUCUGGAAUCCCGAAGAGAUUUGCGGGAACGCCACCAAGACUGAACCCUGAUUAACACAUGGCUGUCGUCAGCUCGUGUCGUGAGAUGUUGGGUUAAGUCCCGCAACGAGCGCAGCCCUUGUCAUUAGUUACUGAAAGGCACUCUAAUGAGACUGCCGGUGACAAACCGGAGGAAAGGUGAGAUGACGUCCCAGACCUCAUGGCCCUUAUGGGUAGGGCUUCACACGUCAUACAAUGGUCGGGACAGAGGGUCGCCAACCCCGCGAAAGGGGAGCCAAUCCCAGAAACCCGAUCGUAGUCCGGAUCGCAGUCUGCAACUCGACUGCGUGAGGCGAAUCGCUAGUAAUCGCCCGGAUCAGCAUGUCGCGGUGAAUACGUACCCAGAGGAUUCUUAUGCACCGCCGUCUACACCAUGGGAGUGGGUUUUACCAGAAGUAGUUAAUACAACGCCGUAAGGAGGGCGAUUACCACGGUAGGAUUCAUGACUGGGCUUGAAGUCAUAUGGUAA